RNAcentral lists this ribosomal RNA (448 nucleotides) under uncultured bacterium. RNAcentral's name for it is "partial 16S ribosomal RNA". It matches the Rfam family "Bacterial small subunit ribosomal RNA", at positions 354 to 794 of the family's 1533-position model. The record is from RNAcentral.
GUGGGGAAUCUUCCGCAAUGGACGAAAGUCUGACGGAGCGACGCCACGUGAGUGAAGAAGGCCUUCGGGUCGUAAAGCUCUGUCAUCAGGGACGAACGGCCGGUGGAGUGGAAAGCCACCGGAUUGACGGUACCUGAGAAGGAAGCCACGGCUAACUACGUGCCAGCAGCCGCGGUAAUACGUAGGUGGCAAGCGUUGACCGGAAUUAUUGGGCGUAAAGCGCGCACAGGUGGGAUCUUAAGUGCAUUUUUAAAGUUCGGAUCUCAACUCCGUGAUGGGAUGGAAAAUGGGAUUCUUGAGUACCGGAGAGGAAAGCGGAAUUCCCCGUGUAGCGGUGAAAUGCGUAGAUAUGGGGAGGAACACCAGUGGCGAAGGCGGCUUUCUGGACGGUGUCUGACACUGAGGCGCGAAAGCCAGGGGAGCGAACGGGAUUAGAUACCCGUGUACC